RNAcentral lists this microRNA precursor (62 nucleotides) under Notamacropus eugenii (tammar wallaby). RNAcentral's name for it is "miRNA (ENSMEUG00000017118.1)". The record is from RNAcentral. Lineage: Eukaryota; Metazoa; Chordata; Mammalia; Diprotodontia; Macropodidae.
GUGUGUGUGUGUGUGUGUGUGUGUGUGUGCACGCACGCGCGCGCCAUGGAUUCCUGCACAGG